AGGUUUCUGGGGGUCCUUAUGGGUCCUUAUGGGUCCCUAUGGGGUCUCUAUGGGUCCCUAUGGGUCUCUAUGGGGUCUCUAUGGGUCCCUAUGGGUUCCUCUUUGAGUCCCUAUAGGGUCCUUAUGGGUCCCUAUGUGCCUCUAUGGGGUCCCUAUGGGGUCUCUAUGUAUCCCUAUAGGUCCCUCUUUGAGUCCCUAUAGUUUCUGGGGGUCUCUGGGGUUCCCACGUUUCCACGUCCCACGUUUCCAUGUUCCCAUGACCCCAUAAUCCCAAAAUCCCAUGUUCCCACAUUUCCACAUUCCCACAUUUCCAUGUUCCCAUGUUCCCACGUUUCCAUGUUCCCACGUCCCCAUGUUCCCAUGUUCUGAUGUUUCCAUGUUCCCACAUUUCCACCUUCCCACAUUUCCAUGUUUCCAUGACCCCAUAUUUCCAUGUUCCCAUGUUCCCAUGUUUCCAUGACCCCAUGUUCCCACAUUUCCAUGUUCCCACAUUUCCAUGUUCCCAUGUUUCCAUGACCCCAUGUUCCCAUACUCCCAUGUUCCCAUGUUUCCAUAUUCCCACAUUUCCACGUUUCCAUGUUCCUAUGUUUCCAGAUCCCACGUUCCCAUGUUUCCAUGUUCCCACGUUUCCAUAUUCCCACGUCCCCAUGUUUCCAUGACCCCAUGUUCCCAUGUUCCCACGUUUCCAUGUUCCCACGUUCCCAUGUUCCCAUGUUCUGAUGUUCCCAUGUUCCCAUGUUUCCAUGACCCCAUGUUCUGAUGUUCCCAUGUUUCCAUGUUCCCAUGUUCCCACGUUCCCAUGUUCCCACAUUUCCAUGUUCCCAUGUUCCCACAUUUCCAUGACCCCAUGUUCCCAUGUUCCCACAUUUCCAUGUUUCCACGUUCCCAUGUUUCCAGACCCCAUGUUCCCACAUUCCCACGUUCCCAUGUUCCCUUUCCAUGUUCCCACGUUCCCACGUUUCCACGUUCCCAUGUUCCCUUUCCAUGUUCCCAUGUUCCCACAUUUCCACGUUCCCACAUUUCCAUGUUCCCAUGAUCCCAUAUUUCCACGUUCCCAUGUUCCCACAUUCCCACGUUCCCACAUUCCCAUGUUCCCAUGUUCCCAUGAUCCCAUAUUUCCACGUUCCCAUGUUCCCAUGUUCCCACGUUCCCACAUUCCCAUGUUUCCAUGUUCCCAUGAUCCCAUGUUCCCACGUUCCCACAUUUCCACGUUCCCACGUUCCCACAUUCCCAUGUUUCCAUGUUCCCAUGAUCCCAUAUUUCCACGUUCCCAUGUUCCCACAUUCCCAUGUUCCCACAUUUCCACGUUUCCACGUUCCCAUGUUUCCAGACCCCAUGUUCCCACAUUUCCAUGUUUUCAUGAUCCCAUAUUUCCANNNNNUCCCACGUUCCCACAUUUCCAUGUUCCCAUGUUCCCAUGUUCCCACAUUUCCAUGUUUCCACGUUCCCACAUUUCCAUGUUCCCACGUUCCCACAUUUCCAUGUUCCCAUGUUCCCAUGUUCCCACAUUUCCAUGUUUCCACGUUCCCAUGUUUCCAGACCCCAUGUUCCCAUGUUCCCACGUUCCCAUGUUCCCAUGUUCCCACAUUUCCAUGUUCCCUUUCUAUGUUCCCAUGUUCCCAUGUUCCCACGUUCCCAUGUUCCCAUGUUCCCAUGUUCUCAUGUUCCCUUUCUAUGUUCCCAUGUUCCCAUGUUCCCACAUUUCCACAUUUCCACGUUCCCAUGUUUCCAGACCCCAUGUUCCCACAUUUCCAUGUUUUCAUGAUCCCAUAUUUCCACGUUCCCAUGUUCCCUUUCCAUGUUCCCAUGUUCCCAUGUUUCGUUGUUUCCACGUUCCCACGUUCCCAUGUUCCCACAUUUCCACGUUCCCAUGUUUCCAGACCCCAUGUUCCCACAUUUCCAUGUUCCCAUGAUCCCAUAUUUCCACGUUCCCAUGUUCCCAUGUUCCCAUGUUCCCACAUUUCCAUGUUCCCUUUCUAUGUUCCCAUGUUCCCAUGNNNUUCCCUUUCCAUGUUCCCACGUUCCCAUGUUCCCACAUUUCCACAUUUCCACCUUCCCAUGUUUCCAGACUCCAUGUUCCCAUGUUCCCACAUUUCCAUGUUCCCUUUCCAUGUUCCCACGUUCCCAUGUUCCCACAUUUCCACAUUUCCACCUUCCCAUGUUUCCAGACCCCACCUUCCCACCUUCCCACAUCUCCACAUUUCCACAUCCCACCUCCCCACCCCCCCAAACCCCCCCUCACCUCGGGCUGACCACAUCCUGCGGUGCCUGGAACCACUCCUGCAAUUUACUCUCCAGCCCCACUCCCACCUUAACCAGGUAGGAGCUGGGAUCCACGCAGCAGGCCCAGUAGCUCCUGCCCUGCGUCACGGCCACGUCUCCGAUCACCACCUCGACGGAGAGGUGGCAGCUGCUCAGCAGCCUUUCGGCAGCGAAAAGCAUCGGGACCCCCGGCACGCUGCGCACCGCGCGCUGGUCCUUACUGAUGGCCAGCCGGUCCCGAUUGAAACCCCAGCGGUUGUCCAGGAAGAAAUUGAGGACUGCAAUGAGGAGGGGGGGGGAAGGGGGUGGUGAGAGAUGUGAUGUGGGAAUGGGGGAUGGGGGGAGCUGAGCCCCUUUGAUGUGACCUGGUACCCAUCUGUAGGGUGGCAUCCUGCAUAUAGAAGUAGGGGAGGGGUCCUAAGGAGCACAGGGAUGCUCAGAGGAUGGAGGAGGAGGAGGAGGAAGGAGGAGGACAGUGAUGUGGGAAUGGGGGUAGGGGGAGCUGAGCCCCCUUUUGCCCAUUUGUAGGGUGGCAUCCUGCAUAUGGAGGUAGGGGAGGGGUCCUAAGGGGUGCAGGGAUGCUCAGAGGAUGGAGGAGGAGGAGGAGGAGGAGGAGGAGGAGGAGGAGGAAGGAGGAGCUGUGCUUUGGGUCGUGCUUUUGGGCAUCUGCUGGUCCUUACUGAUGGCCAGCCCCCUAAACCCUCCCAAUCCCCCCCAGCCCCCCCCCAAAGCCCUCCCUAAACCCCCCCAAAGUC
This is a long non-coding RNA of Phasianus colchicus (ring-necked pheasant), 3017 nucleotides long. The record is from Ensembl. NCBI's taxonomy places the organism in Eukaryota, Metazoa, Chordata, Aves, Galliformes, Phasianidae.